This 506-nucleotide ribosomal RNA is filed under the name uncultured bacterium. RNAcentral describes it as "partial 16S ribosomal RNA". It matches the Rfam family "Bacterial small subunit ribosomal RNA", at positions 29 to 523 of the family's 1533-position model. The record is from RNAcentral.
AGUGAACGCUGGCGGUAGGCCUAACACAUGCAAGUCGAACGGCAGCACAGGAGAGCUUGCUCUCUGGGUGGCGAGUGGCGGACGGGUGAGGAAUACAUCGGAAUCUACUCUGUCGUGGGGGAUAACGUAGGGAAACUUACGCUAAUACCGCAUACGACCUACGGGUGAAAGCAGGGGAUCUUCGGACCUUGCGCGAUUGAAUGAGCCGGUGUCGGAUUAGCUAGUUGGCGGGGUAAAGGCCCACCAAGGCGACGAUCCGUAGCGGGUCUGAGGGGAUGAUCAGCCACACUGGAACUGAGACACGGUCCAGACUCCUACGGGAGGCAGCAGUGGGGAAUAUUGGACAAUGGGCGCAAGCCUGAUCCAGCCAUACCGCGUGGGUGAAGAAGGCCUUCGGGUUGUAAAGCCCUUUUGUUGGGAAAGAAAUCCAGCUGGCUAAUACCCGGUUGGGAUGACGGUACCCAAAGAAUAAGCACCGGCUAACUUCGUGCCAGCCGCCGCGGUAA